GGGCCCGUAGCUCAGCGGUAGAGCACCUGCCUUUUAAGCAGGGUGUCGAAGGUUCGAUCCCUUCCGGGCUCA
RNAcentral lists this transfer RNA (72 nucleotides) under Microgenomates group bacterium RBG_19FT_COMBO_39_10. RNAcentral's name for it is "tRNA-Lys". It matches the Rfam family "tRNA". Rfam says of the family: Transfer RNA (tRNA) molecules are approximately 80 nucleotides in length. Their secondary structure includes four short double-helical elements and three loops (D, anti-codon, and T loops). The record is from RNAcentral.